Molecule: non-coding RNA, 1654 nt
Organism: Coffea arabica (coffee)
Lineage: Eukaryota; Viridiplantae; Streptophyta; Magnoliopsida; Gentianales; Rubiaceae
Source: RefSeq, a predicted model, not a curated record
AAUUAACCUAAUCUUCAGUUCACUCUUCAGUCUUCGCACUUUGUAACCUUCGCUUCGGUCUUCCUGGCUCCUUCUUCCUCUCUCUGCAAUUGCCGAAAUUGCCUUGCCCAGUUGCCUUAUGCCUGCCAUCUCUAUUUCCUUCUCCCCUUAAUGGCUCAACCCUAAUCCCUUCUCCAAACUCCAAUCUUGAUCCAUAGCAAUCAGCAAAAAGGAAGCACCGAAGCAUGAAGUUUUUCUACUCACCGCUGGAAUUGUAAGCCAAAAAAAACUCUGUAAUUGAAGCUUAUAUCAGAGAUUAAGCAUGUCGCGAACAACAGAGAAAGCGAGAAGUGGGAAACUUUCCUUUAGCUGUAUUUUUGGAAAGCAUGAAAGAAAAACAACAGGAAACCUCGUGGUGUGCUUCACGCAAAUGGAUGGUUAUGCGGAUCCCAUGUUUUAUUCUUUCAAGUCUUUUUCAAUUCGGAAAUUGAUUCACCAUUCUUCAAGCAGGCUUAAACCGAAAGAGGAGUUUGUCUGGCGUGAGAUAAAGGAUGCAUCUGAUGCAUGCACCCCACAUUACUUUGCUAUGAGUUUGAUUCAGGCUGGAAGUUUGGUCUAUCCUGUUGGUGGUGUGAAGGGCAAUGAGGAAGAGAGGCACUUGUAUGAGCCAGGCAGCUUACCCGAGAAUUCAGUUGCAUCUCUCUCUCAACUCCUCUAGAAAACUCUCGAGCAGAGAUUAAGUGCCCAAUGCAUGGGCAAAGUAUUUCCCCCUUAUAGAGGAAAUUGAUGGUCGCAUCUAUGUUCUAUCUGGGCCCCUGCCUAGCUAUGGAUCUCUUGAUAUAGUUGACAUCGGCUUUGAGGUUUAUUAUCCUUUAGAGGAUAGGUGGGUUGAUCUGUCGAUUCCUCCUUUUCUCAAAAAAGGUAGUUACUCCACUAUGUUUAGGGGCUUCUUUGCAUAUGUAGUGAUUGGUUCAAGGUUGUGUGUUUUGACUAGGGAAUAUGCGUGUGCUUUUGACACUGUGUAGUGGGAGUGGGAGGCUUGUGAGUUAUUUUCUGAUUUCCCGCUUCAACCUGCCGAACAAUAUGUGCGACACCUAGAUGGUUGCGGUCCUCCAUUUCCUUUUGAGAAAAAAGCCAUCCUAUAUAAAGACAAUAUCUUGUUGUGCACUAUGCCUGCCUUCUAUCCUCCUGUCUGUGCCUUUCAAAUUUGUGAUGAGAAAGCAGUAAAAAUGUCACUUUUAUUGGAUGGCAUGCCAUGUGGAGUUGCUGUUGAUCUUGUUGAUUUAGGAAAUGAUUACUUUGUUGUAAUGCUUUUUGAAGACAAAACAGAUGGAUGUGCCGAAGAUCUGACAAUUGUCACUUUCAAGCUGCUUUCAGAAAGAGGGGGAGAUGGAGCUCUGAGUUGUGCAUUGAUAAGUACAAGGACUUGUAAUGCAAUAGAGAAUGGCUCUACUGUGCGUCCCAUCUAUUCCUUCAUAUUGCGAGUUAAUUAAGAUUCCAUGAGAAGUAUGAAGGGCUAGCAUAGCUAGAGCUGAAGCUGAUGAUCAUGAAUAAAAGGCAAGUGCAAAAAAUGCUACAACUAGCAGCUUUCAUGGUAAAAAAAAAAAAAAAACAUUCAUGUUUGUAAUGAAUAAAUUCAAUAGAAAAAAAAAAUUUCUUGGUUGACAAUUGCAAA